UUCUAGCAAUGCUCCUGAAGGGGCUCACCUUGCCAGAGAUUUAAAAGAAGCUAUCGAUUUAUUCCAAAAUGGUUCCAUCAAAGAUAAAGUGAACAAGCUUUUUAUUAUUGGUGGCAGCGGAGUGUACCAAGAAGUUCUCGAAUCAAACUAUGACAUCCGACUUUAUCUCACCAGAAUACAUGCAGACUUCGACGUUGAUGUGUUUUUCCCAGAGUUUGAAUCCAAACAAUACAAGGAACUCGACAAUGUUGAAGAUGUUCCAAGAGAAGAACAAGAGGAAAAUGGUAUUAAAUGGACCUACCAUGUCUAUGAAAGAUGCUAACUUUUUUUCCACUAAAUUGACAAUAUUGAGAUUUAUAUUUAUCAUUACCAAUAAACAAUUUCAUUGCUC
Long non-coding RNA from Octopus bimaculoides (California two-spot octopus), 391 nucleotides. NCBI's taxonomy places the organism in Eukaryota, Metazoa, Mollusca, Cephalopoda, Octopoda, Octopodidae. The record is from RefSeq and is a predicted model, not a curated record.